GAUGAACGCUGGCGGCGUGCUUAACACAUGCAAGUCGAACGAUGAAGCCCAGCUUGCUGGGUGGAUUAGUGGCGAACGGGUGAGUAACACGUGAGUAACCUGCCCUUAACUCUGGGAUAAGCCUGGGAAACUGGGUCUAAUACCGGAUAGGAGCGUCCACCGCAUGGUGGGUGUUGGAAAGAUUUAUCGGUUUUGGAUGGACUCGCGGCCUAUCAGCUUGUUGGUGAGGUAAUGGCUCACCAAGGCGACGACGGGUAGCCGGCCUGAGAGGGUGACCGGCCACACUGGGACUGUGACACGGCCCAGACUCCUACGGGAGGCAGCAGUGGGGAAUAUUGCACAAUGGGCGCAAGCCUGAUGCAGCGACGCCGCGUGAGGGAUGACGGCCUUCGGGUUGUAAACCUCUUUCAGUAGGGAAGAAGCGAAAGUGACGGUACCUUCAGAAGAAGCACCGGCUAACUACGUG
RNAcentral lists this ribosomal RNA (466 nucleotides) under uncultured bacterium. Its description in RNAcentral is "partial 16S ribosomal RNA". It matches the Rfam family "Bacterial small subunit ribosomal RNA", at positions 28 to 507 of the family's 1533-position model. The record is from RNAcentral.